RNAcentral lists this ribosomal RNA (728 nucleotides) under uncultured bacterium. RNAcentral's name for it is "bacterial SSU rRNA". It matches the Rfam family "Bacterial small subunit ribosomal RNA", at positions 771 to 1501 of the family's 1533-position model. The record is from RNAcentral.
AACAGGAUUAGAUACCCUGGUAGUCCACGCCGUAAACGAUGAGUGCUAGGUGUUGGGGGUUUCCGCCCUCUGUGCCGAAGGUAACCCAAUAAGCACUCCGCCUGGGGAGUACGGCCGCAAGGCUGAAACUCAAAGGAAUUGACGGGGGCCCGCACAAGCGGUGGAACAUGUGGUUUAAUUCGAAGCAACGCGAAGAACCUUACCAGGUCUUGACAUCCCGCUGAUCGGUGUAGAGAUAUGCCUUUCCUUCGGGACAGCGGUGACAGGUGGUGCAUGGUUGUCGUCAGCUCGUGUCGUGAGAUGUUGGGUUCAGUCCCGCAACGAGCGCAACCCUUGUCGUCAGUUGCCAGCACGUAAAGGUGGGCACUCUGGCGAGACGGCCGGUGAAAGCCGGAGGAAGGUGGGGAUGACGUCAAAUCAUCAUGCCCCUUAUGUCCUGGGCUACACACGUGCUACAAUGGCCGAUACAACGGGUAGCGAACCCGCGAGGGGGAGCCAAUCCAAAAAACCGGUCUCAGUUCGGAUCGCAGGCUGCAACUCGCCUGCGUGAAGCUGGAAUCGCUAGUAAUCGCGGAUCAGCAUGCCGCGGUGAAUCCGUUCCCGGGCCUUGUACACACCGCCCGUCACACCACGAGAGUCUGCAACACCCGAAGUCGGUGAGGUAACCUUCGGGAACCAGCCGCCGAAGGUGGGGCAGAUGAUUGGGGUGAAGUCGUAACAAGGUAACC